This is a non-coding RNA of Callithrix jacchus (white-tufted-ear marmoset), 1689 nucleotides long. Lineage: Eukaryota; Metazoa; Chordata; Mammalia; Primates; Cebidae. The record is from RefSeq and is a predicted model, not a curated record.
GAGAGAGGGCCCAGCCGCGGCCCCCGCGUCCCUCCCGGGAGCCGGGUUUCCGCCCCUGAGACCUCGGGCUGUGUGCCCAGGUCAGUCCAAAGCUGCUGUUUCUUCCGGGGUCGUGGCCCCCACGCCCCUGUCGCCCGCACCCAGGGCGAUUCUGCGUUCCAUGGGACUUUUGGCUCUAGCUGGAGACAUUUCUGGAGGUCACAGAAUGCAGGACAAGAAAAGUAUCAUUCAAGCUCAGAUUUGUGUUGAAACCAGCCUCAGGAUUCACCUGUCCUCACUGAUGUUUCUGUAAGAUCAGAUGUCAUUAUUGUCCAGUGCAGUGGUGCUAUCUCAGCUCAUUUCAACCUCCGCCUCUCAGGUUCAAGCAAGUCUCCUGCCUCAGCCUCCCAAGUAGCUGGGAUUACAGAACACCGUCGUGAGAGUGCUUUGGGAAGAAGGGAGGCUCAUCCUGCCUCCCGGCUGCCCUUUGGCUGUCAGAGUCACAGGAUGGCGGCCCUUGUCCUACACGCCGCCGGUGCUGCAUCUUCCCCAUUCCCAGCCUCUCAGCAAAAAGGACACACUGAAGGCGGAGGCCUGGUUAAUGAGCUCCUGAGAAGCUGGCUGCAGGGGUAGGUGACCUUCAAGGAUGUGGCUGUGGAGUUCACCCAGGAAGAUUGGGCGUUGCUGGACCCUGCCCAAAAGACACUAUAUAGGAACGUGAUGCUGGAGGAUUCCUGGAACCUGUCCUCCUCACUGGGGAACCAAGUUGAUAGACGUCUGAUCUCCCAGUUGGAGCAAGAAGAUAAGUUGAUGACAGGAGAGAGGAAUUGUCCCAGGUACCCAACCAGAUGUGGAGACUCCACUUAAAGCUAGCGGGCUAACUUCAAAGCUACGUGUUUUUCGAAAAGAACAAUCUAGAAAUAUGAAAAUGGAGACAAAUCAUCUUGGAGCAAAACUCAGCAAAUGUAAUCAGUGUUUUAAAGUCCUCAGCUCAAAAUCUUCCCUUACGUGGCACAAGAGGAUUCAUACUGGAGAAAAACCCUAUGACUGCAGUGAGUGUGGGAAAUCCCACAUCUAACAGGAUUAGAUGUUACCUUACUGUUCAUAAGAGAAUCCACAAUGGGGAGAAGCCCUAUGAAUGCAGUGACUGUGGGAAAGCCUUCAUUAAUUCCUCAUCCCUUAGUGUGCCCUGGAGAAUUCACAAUGGAGAAAAACCCUACAAAUGUAACCAUUGUCUUCAUGAGUUCCGCACUCUGUCUUCACAAGCCACAAGAGAGCUCAUACGGGGGAGAAUCAUUAUGUAUAUAAUCAGUGUGGAAAGGCUUUCUGCACGAGGUCGUCUCUUACUUUGCACAAUAGAAUUCACACAGGGGAGAAACCUUAUGAAUGCCACGAUUGUGGGAAGACCUUCACGAGGAGCACAAAUCUGACAACACUUAAGAACUCAUACUGGAGAAAAACCCUACAAAUGUAAUGUGUGUGGAACAUCUUUCACCCGUAGAUUUUCUCUUACAGUACGCAGGAGAGAAACCCUAUAAAUGCAAUUACUGUGGAAAAGCCGUUAACGUUCUCUCAUUGGUUAAGAAACACACGAGAACGCAUGCUGGAGAAAAGCCCCAUGAAUGUAAUCACUGUGGGAAAUUCUUUGCUACUAACUAUAACCUUUCUUUGCGUAAGAGAAUACAUAAUAGACAAUUGUGAAUUCAAAAA